Molecule: ribosomal RNA, 258 nt
Filed under: uncultured prokaryote
Description: partial 16S ribosomal RNA
Rfam family: Bacterial small subunit ribosomal RNA
Source: RNAcentral
UACGUAGGGGGCGAGCGUUGUCCGGAUUUACUGGGCGUAAAGGGUGAGUAGGCGGUUAUAUAUGUCAGGUGUAAAAAGCUAUGGCUUAACCAUAGUAAGCACUUGAAACUGUAUGACUUGAGUGCAGGAGAGGUAAGCGGAAUUCCUAGUGUAGCGGUGAAAUGCUUAGAUAUGACGCAGAACUCCGAUUGCGAAGGCAGCUUACUGGGAUGCAACUGACGCUGAGGCACGAAAGCGUAGGUAUCAAACAGGAUUAGA